UUGACUCGGCCUUCCAUCCUUCCAAGGUGGGUAAAACGAGGACCCAGAUUGUUGGGGGCAAUUAUGCUGACUCUGCAAACUGCUUAGAGAGGGCUGUGAAGCACUGUGAAGCUGUAUAUAAGUUUAAGGGCUAUUGGUAUUGCUAUAAUAAUUAACAUAA
Molecule: non-coding RNA, 160 nt
Organism: Pseudonaja textilis
Lineage: Eukaryota; Metazoa; Chordata; Lepidosauria; Squamata; Elapidae
Source: RefSeq, a predicted model, not a curated record